GACGGUUGUCCCGGUUUAAGCGUGUAGGCUGGUUUUCCAGGCAAAUCCGGAAAACCAAGGCUGAGGCGUGAUGACGAGGCACUACGGUGCUGAAGCGACAAAUGCCCUGCUUCCAGGAAAAGCCUCUAAGCAUCAGGUAACAUCAAAUCGUACCCCAAACCGACACAGGUGGUCAGGUAGAGAAUACCAAGGCGCUUGAGAGAACUCGGGUGAAGGAACUAGGCAAAAUGGUGCCGUAACUUCGGGAGAAGGCACGCUGAUAUGUAGGUGAAGCGACUUGCUCGUGGAGCUGAAAUCAGUCGAAGAUACCAGCUGGCUGCAACUGUUUAUUAAAAACACAGCACUGUGCAAACACGAAAGUGGACGUAUACGGUGUGACGCCUGCCCGGUGCCGGAAGGUUAAUUGAUGGGGUUAGCGGUAACGCGAAGCUCUUGAUCGAAGCCCCGGUAAACGGCGGCCGUAACUAUAACGGUCCUAAGGUAGCGAAAUUCCUUGUCGGGUAAGUUCCGACCUGCACGAAUGGCGUAAUGAUGGCCAGGCUGUCUCCACCCGAGACUCAGUGAAAUUGAACUCGCUGUGAAGAUGCAGUGUACCCGCGGCAAGACGGAAAGACCCCGUGAACCUUUACUAUAGCUUGACACUGAACAUUGAGCCUUGAUGUGUAGGAUAGGUGGGAGGCUUUGAAGUGUGGACGCCAGUCUGCAUGGAGCCGACCUUGAAAUACCACCCUUUAAUGUUUGAUGUUCUAACGUUGGCCCGUAAUCCGGGUUGCGGACAGUGUCUGGUGGGUAGUUUGACUGGGGCGGUCUCCUCCUAAAGAGUAACGGAGGAGCACGAAGGUUGGCUAAUCCUGGUCGGACAUCAGGAGGUUAGUGCAAUGGCAUAAGCCAGCUUGACUGCGAGCGUGACGGCGCGAGCAGGUGCGAAAGCAGGUCAUAGUGAUCCGGUGGUUCUGAAUGGAAGGGCCAUCGCUCAACGGAUAAAAGGUACUCCGGGGAUAACAGGCUGAUACCGCCCAAGAGUUCAUAUCGACGGCGGUGUUUGGCACCUCGAUGUCGGCUCAUCACAUCCUGGGGCUGAAGUAGGUCCCAAGGGUAUGGCUGUUCGCCAUUUAAAGUGGUACGCGAGCUGGGUUUAGAACGUCGUGAGACAGUUCGGUCCCUAUCUGCCGUGGGCGCUGGAGAACUGAGGGGGGCUGCUCCUAGUACGAGAGGACCGGAGUGGACGCAUCACUGGUGUUCGGGUUGUCAUGCCAAUGGCACUGCCCGGUAGCUAAAUGCGGAAGAGAUAAGUGCUGAAAGCAUCUAAGCACGAAACUUGCCCCGAGAUGAGUUCUCCCUGACUCCUUGAGAGUCCUGAAGGAACGUUGAAGACGACGACGUUGAUAGGCCGGGUGUGUAAGCGCAGCGAUGCGUUGAGCUAACCGGUACUAAUGAACCGUGAGGCUUAACCUUACAACGCCGAAG
Molecule: ribosomal RNA, 1467 nt
Filed under: Escherichia coli
Lineage: Bacteria; Pseudomonadati; Pseudomonadota; Gammaproteobacteria; Enterobacterales; Enterobacteriaceae
Description: partial 23S ribosomal RNA
Rfam family: Bacterial large subunit ribosomal RNA
Source: RNAcentral